AUGCAUUAAGAAAAAAAUUGGGCUGCACCUGCACAUGGCGCCAGGGGUCAGGCUGCAGUGCCAGAGGACAUGCUCACGCAUAACUGGGGCCACCUGUCUUGAUGGCAGCCCUUUUAACUGUGAGCUACAUAG
Marmota marmota marmota (Alpine marmot) is the source of this 132-nucleotide small nucleolar RNA. The record is from Ensembl. NCBI's taxonomy places the organism in Eukaryota, Metazoa, Chordata, Mammalia, Rodentia, Sciuridae.